Molecule: ribosomal RNA, 613 nt
Filed under: Euphorbia eriantha
Lineage: Eukaryota; Viridiplantae; Streptophyta; Magnoliopsida; Malpighiales; Euphorbiaceae
Description: eukaryotic LSU rRNA
Rfam family: 5.8S ribosomal RNA (bases 233-388)
Source: RNAcentral
UGCCCAGCAGAAUGACCCGAGAACGUGUUUAUAAUUUCAGGGGAUGCCGCAGGAUUCGUCUGGCGUCAUCCCUUAAUCAUGGCAUGAAUGUGGGACGCGAGUCCCUCGUUCAUAGCCUGCUAACAAAACCCCGGCGCCGAACGCGCCAAGGAAUUGCAAACCAAAAACGUGCAACCCGAUUGCCCCGGAAACGGUGUGUUAAACGGAUGCAUCGUACUUUGAGAAUCUAAACGACUCUCGGCAACGGAUAUCUCGGCUCUCGCAUCGAUGAAGAACGCAGCGAAAUGCGAUACUUGGUGUGAAUUGCAGGAUCCCGCGAACCAUCGAGUCUUUGAACGCAAGUUGCGCCCAAAGCCUUCUGGCUGAGGGCACGUCUGCCUGGGUGUCACUCAAUCGUUGCCCCAAAUCCUAUCCAUUGGAAGGGUAUUCUUGGGGCGGAUACUGGCCUCCCGUGGCUCAKAGCUUGCGGUUGGCCCAAAUGUUYGGUCCUCGGCGAAGAUGCCACGCAAAUCGGUGGUUGUAAGACCCUCGCACAAUGUCAUGCGCAUUCGGAUGCCUUAGAUGACCUACUGACCCCGAAGCGUACCGAAGUGAACGCUCGCACUGCGACCCC